GACCAACGAGUCAGAGGCAAGAUAACUGAAAGCCUCUGUCCCCACUGUCUUCCGAGAGCUGUGGUUUGACCAGGCAGCCCCCUAUGCCUCUUCCAGACUCAGGCUUCUCUCUGCUUCUGCAGUUUCUCCAGAGAAAGGAAAAGCCAGCAGUAUGCUUCUCAUUGAUCUGAGAAAAACUUGUCCAAGUCAGAUACGGAUAGACGCACAUACUUCAUCUAAAAAAAAAAUGGCAAUUACAUUAAUAUUGAUAAAAAUAAUAAAUAGCUUUCCAAGGGGGAAAGCAUAGCCUGCAAAAAGACAUCUGUGAUAUAUGGCUCACAAACUCAAAAUUUAGAUUCAGUACCCAAGGGCUGUCGGCUGAUUUAUAAAAUGCCUUUACUACAUUGGAUUCAAGUGCCAGACUCUUCAUGUUCUCCCUCAUUGACAAAGGGCAGUGGAUUUCUGGAAAUCUAUUUUCAGUAGACUUCAGUAACUCAAUUUUACCUAUCCACACUGUGUGGUAUAGUAUCAUCAUGUAAAAAUCAGAAGCAUCAAAAAUCAGACAAACCUAGACUCACUCCUCAAUUCUUUUACCAGGUGAAUGAAAAAGUGAUUAUUUUAUAAAAGGAAUGCUAGUUAGCAUUCCUGGGAGAAGUGAGUCUCUAUGGCUUGCCCUUUUGAAACUGGUUUCCAAACAAAAUGCAUACUCAUGAAUAUUUAUUGAUCAUAAAAGUUUGGCAGAUUAGAGCAGAAGAAGGGUAGCAUGAGGAGUACCAACUCUUAAACCUGAGGACUCAUGUCUGCACUACACCUUAUACAACAGUGUCUGUGAAAUGGUUAAAGAGUAAAAACCCAAUCUGUUGCAGCCAGAAAGGAGUACUCCACCUAUUACACAGCAAGGCCAAUAGAUUGCUUGUUAUUUUAAGUGUUAUUUAAAUUAUCUCCCUAGGGAAGAUAAUUUUCAGCUGCCUCUCCAUCUUCUUAAAGAAGAGCAGAAUUUAACACAUCUCGUCUUUGUGAAAAACAAAGACACUGAAGCAAUGGUCAGAAAGAAAAGGAAUAAAGACAAAGUCAAGGAAAGAGCCAUACAAGGACAGUUAGCAUAAGAUAGUUGUUCUCAAUGUAGGCUAUCCAGAACAGCACUGUCAACCUCACCGCGGAACUUGAAAGAAGUGCAAAUCCUUGAGACUGACUCCAAGUCUACUGAAUCAGAAAUUCUGGGGGUGAAGUCCAUCAAUCUUUGGUUGAACAAAACACAACCAAUCUCACAUUUAUGGAAGUUUCAUAUAUGAAGUCAUAAAAGUCACUAGAAAGGCAAGAAGAACCAGGGAGCUGACAUGUUCCUAGAUCCAGGAGCCACCCAGUGGAUUGACGAUUCUUAUCAUAAUAAGACUUCCUUGAACCAUCCCCCACCCAACCCUUUUCCAGAAAGAGUUGAAGACAAAUCUACAGUGAAUAGGAGGCUGAGGCCACCACACCACAGCUUCCAGUGCAAGUGUCCUUGUGCCCUGGUGCCUGAUAUCCAGCUCCGGCAGCCUAGAAAAUCAGUUAGGCUUUUCAGUCACAGCACCCUCUGUGACAAACGUGUGGAGCACCGCACGACUUCUUCAACCAGCUGGUUUUUCUGGCAUUCGAAUAAAAGUAAAAAUAGAAAACAAAGAGGGAGAAGAAAAGUGACAAGCUGAAACCUGCGAAGAGAAAGAGGACAAGAACCUGUAUGUACCCAGUGGUGUGGAUAAAUCGUUAUGUAUCUGCCUACGCAUUGUCAGAAAUACAGCAGCCUAAGUAGCCAUUCAAGGAAUUUAGAGUAAAGUACCAUGGUCAGAAUUCAAGAUAUAGCCACUACAGGAUCUGAAAUGCCAUCUGUUCCAACCGCACGACAUCCCCAUUCAGCAGGCUCACAAGGCUGGCAUAGACAGGAAGAGGGACCCCUCUGUUGUCCUCUACUCUCUUCUUCAACUGAGCAAUGAGCAGAAGAUUUAAGUUUGGGAUUUUUUCACUAUUUUUCCCAAACGCAUGAACAGGUUCUUCUCAAACUGCAAGAGUCGAUUCAAAAUCCAGACAGCUUUCACCACCCAAGGAUUCAGGGAAGUGUUUAUUUCUUUGUCUCAGAAUCUCUUUAAACAUGGCACCUACAAUGACAAAUUGUAAAUAGCCACGUCCAAUAAGUUUAUGCGUAACCUUACCUGACUUUUCCAUGGAACUCCAUUAUAUAACUAGAAGCAUUUCUCCACAAGCGGAAAAAAAAUGGAACCAGAAGAGAAACAAAGCACAUUUGAGCAUACAAUAAAUAAUGAUAUGAAAUGAACAAGUUGAUCUGGUCUUGAGGGAGGAGGAGGCACAGGAACACAGUAAAGGAACCUAUCUGAGGAGCUGCAGACAUGAACCAACAAAGGUCAAACCCCACCUGGAAAAUGAAUUGUGUCCAAAUGAGACCCCUUUAAUGACAGGAUUUGAAACAAUCUCAUUAUGAAACAAUUGCAGUCAAUGGGAAUCCUGAGUCUUCAAGGAAGUAAAAAGAAAAAAAAAUCUCUGUUAUCCUCACAUAUUUAAAGAUUCUCAUAUAAAAGCUUCUCCGAAGAGAACAGCUUGUCCUGUUUAGCUUCAAAGAAGAGAAUGAGGAGGAAGGUCGAGGGAAAAUUACAGAAAAGCAGACUUUGACUUGACACGUGGAAGGACUUCUCACUAAUGCUAUUCCCAAAUACAAUGAGUUGUUUCCGUGAUUGGAGGACUUGAAGAUGUAUAAGUUAUCCACAGGGAUGUUGCAGAGGAAAUUUGACCAUCAUAUGGGUGAAUUAACUGAUAUCUAUGAUCUUUAUUUCUCCUGAGAGUCCAUAAAAGGUAGUGUAAAACCAGCCCAAAUAGUGGUUUACAAGUGCACUGGGUAUGUUAUGUAAGAUUUCUGCUUUCCUGAUGAGGCCCCAAAGCUGAGAGCAAUGAAUGAUACAACAAACACAGCAUCCCCACAGAAUUUUCUAAGAGGUAGACAAAAUUGGCUCUGCAACCUUUAGCCUAUGGUCCACCACUGCCCUAUGUAAGGAAAGGUAAGAAAUUCAAGAGAGAUUAAUCAGAGAGGGAAGGCAAAUGGAAUGAAAUUAGUAGAAAUAAGGAGUACUGUGGCAUUUCUCUUCCCUUUGUAUAAUGAAAGAGAGGAGAAUGUAUCUUCUCCCAAAUUCCAAGCUAAGUGAGAGAGGGCAGAAAACCACCUUCUGAGAAAGAAACUGACGAUCCGUCACAGGGAAGAGAUAUCGACCUCCUUACUUAACAUUUUUGAGCUUGAUUAGAGGAUGAUGCAUUAGAUGCCAUUAUAGGACAAAUGUUUUAUGCAGUGAGAUAAUUGUUUGGAAAUUUGACGUAUACCUCUUGGAAUCUGAGGAGCAUGAAGAUCAGUGUAUGACUCUUGCCUGAAAUCAAGGAGAAAGGAAAACCCUGUCAAUGGCACAAAUUUCCAAAGUUUGGGAUGACAAGGACAUCCAGAAGAGCCUGAAGCAAUACUGCAAGUGGGUGCUUUGGUACUGCUUUGAAGCAUCUUUCCAGACUCUGCAGUAGCCAAGGCCUGUGACUCCAGUCCCUGAGAAAGUACCAUCAGGAGCAAUACGUAAGCUUUUCAGGGACAAAGAACCUUGUCCUCUUAAUCUGGAUUCACAAUUCACAAUUAUACCCCUAGCCUGCCCAACGCCUUUUUCUCAGUCUCUGAGAAGUAUUGACUCUCUUUUACCUAAGAGCAGGAGUCUGAAAACUACAGCCUAUGGGCCAAAUCUCUUCUGUUGUGUCCCACAAGGUAACAGUCGCAGUUACAUUUUUAAUUGGUUAAAAAAAUCAAUCAAAAGAACAACACUAUUUUAUAAGAUGAGAAAGAUAUUUAAAAUUCAAAUAUAAAUGCCGAUGAAUAAAAUUUUAUUGGGACAUAGCGAUGCUCAUUCACUUAUGUAUUAUCUAUGACUGGUUUCACAUGGCAGAGUUGAGCAGCUGUGAAAGAGCCUAUUCUUAGGCAAAGCCUGCAAUAUUUGUUAUCUGAACUUUUACAAAAAAUGUUCUCAAUCCCUGCCCAGGAAGAUUGCCUGAGUCUGUCAUCUUACCCCAGCAGCAUCCAUCCCUUUGUAAAUAAGACUUUUGGUAGAAAUGGAAACAAUUAAAAAUAUUUAUAUGCUUUAAAAUAAUACAUUUAAUAAAAGGUAUCUAAAUCCUUGCAUAUAUGACUGUAAUACUCCAGUGUGAUAUUAAUUGCUGGUUGUUUAAUUCCCUCAUUUUAAAUGACAGCACAGAGUUUAAUCAUGGGCAUAUUCUCAAAAAGCAUUCAGAAAUAAAGUCCUUAUGGGUGUUGCCCCUGACUAUACCACAACUCUGAAAGCCACAUGGUGGAUUUAUUUAACCUCCAAUUUUUGGGAACACUUAGUAGCAUACGUGGGCUAAUAUUUGUUAUGGCUCAAUUUACUUUCUCUCUUUUAUCCUGGGGAAAGGAAUACUUUGCUCCCACACUGUGAGGUUUCUGAGAAAGGGUGAAAAAACUAUAAUCAUUCACUUCUCUUGGGCAAGGUGGGAGUGAAAGAAUAACCAAUAAACAAAUAUAUCAAGUGCUCAUCUGUGCAGAAUGCUGCAUGCUUAAUUUAGUUAAAUAUACACAUACAUAAAAGGCACAGCCAUUAUUCCAUCGGAGCCUGAGCCUGAAAUCAGAAUAUGAAGGUCAAACUGGGGUGUAUUUCUGAUUACAGAAUGAAAUCCUCAGACCAGCUGCUCUGUGUGUCCCACUGGGCUCAGUCUUUCUCUCUAGUCCAUCUUUGCUUCCAUGUGCUACUGGUUCUGGAGUGCUAUAGGGGCCCUCAGAGCAUCAUUCUUGCCUCCAAACCUUUGUUCGCUCUGAACCAUCACCUGAGGUCCAUUAUCUGCUACAUUCCUCUUAAACAAAUUUUAUCCCACACUCAAAUGCUCAGAACAAUUCCUACUUCUUUAAAAAUAUCUCUGCUUGGAGUAUUCCGUAGACUCCUCCUUGAAUUUCAUAUUAGCAUUUCAACCGUUGAGUUUAGUCUUCUUGUAUAUCAAGUUUGCAUUUUCCUUGAAUAUUUUAUUUGUACUAGUCAUAAAUUUUCAAUUAAAUGGGAGCUCUUCAUGUUAAAGGCUGCAUCUUUAUUUCUAGUUAAAAAGUCAUACACACACAAACACAUAGUUAAUUUUCAUUAUUCACAGAUUUCAUAUUUGUG
Molecule: long non-coding RNA, 5177 nt
Filed under: Homo sapiens (human)
Lineage: Eukaryota; Metazoa; Chordata; Mammalia; Primates; Hominidae
Description: HSALNT0313221
Source: RNAcentral